GCUAACUACGUGCCAGCAGCCGCGGUAAUACGUAGAGGGCAAGCGUUGUCCGGAAUCACUGGGCGUAAAGGGUACGCAGGCGGAUAUGCAAGUCAACUGUGAAAUGUACCGGCUCAACCGGUAAGGUGCAUUUGAAACUGUAUAUCUUGAGUCUAGGAGAGGAGAGCGGAAUUCCUGGUGUAGCGGUGGAAUGCGUAGAUAUCAGGAAGAACACCAGUGGCGAAGGCGGCUCUCUGGCCUAAGACUGACGCUCAUGUACGAAAGCUGGGGGAGCGAACGGGAUUAGAUACCCUAGUAGUC
This 300-nucleotide ribosomal RNA is filed under the name uncultured Halocella sp. RNAcentral describes it as "bacterial SSU rRNA". It matches the Rfam family "Bacterial small subunit ribosomal RNA", at positions 496 to 795 of the family's 1533-position model. Lineage: Bacteria; Bacillati; Bacillota; Clostridia; Halanaerobiales; Halanaerobiaceae. The record is from RNAcentral.